Molecule: non-coding RNA, 86 nt
Filed under: unclassified sequences
Source: RNAcentral
UGAAUAACACCGCCGGGUGUAAACAAAAAUAGUACUCUUAAUAAUUCCGUAGGCCAAUGUGGAAUUAUUAGGGGUACUUUUAUUUU